Molecule: ribosomal RNA, 423 nt
Filed under: uncultured organism
Description: bacterial SSU rRNA
Rfam family: Bacterial small subunit ribosomal RNA
Source: RNAcentral
UGAGGAAUAUUGGACAAUGGAGGCAACUCUGAUCCAGCCAUGCCGCGUGCAGGAAGAAUGCCCUAUGGGUUGUAAACUGCUUUUAUUUAGGAAGAAUCCCCAGUACGUGUACUGGGUUGACGGUACUAAACGAAUAAGGACCGGCUAACUCCGUGCCAGCAGCCGCGGUAAUACGGAGGGUCCAAGCGUUAUCCGGAAUCAUUGGGUUUAAAGGGUCCGCAGGCGGGCUAUUAAGUCAGUGGUGAAAUCUCUUAGCUUAACUAAGAAAUUGCCGUUGAAACUACUAGUCUUGAAUUCGGUCGAAGUGGGCGGAAUGUGUCAUGUAGCGGUGAAAUGCAUAGAUAUGACACAGAACACCGAUAGCGAAGGCAGCUCACUAGGCCUGAAUUGACGCUCAGGGACGAAAGCGUGGGGAGCAAACAG